UACGUAGGGGGCAAGCGUUGUCCGGAUUUAUUGGGCGUAAAGCGCGUGUAGGCGGCCAGGUAGGUCCGUUGUGAAAACUCGAGGCUCAACCUCGAGCUGUCGGCGGAAACCAUCCGGCUAGAGUCCGGAAGAGGAGAGUGGAAUUCCCGGUGUAGCGGUGAAAUGCGCAGAUAUCGGGAAGAACACCUAUGGCGAAGGCAGCUCUCUGGACCACAACUGACGCUGAGGCGCGAAAGCUAGGGGAGCAAACAGG
Molecule: ribosomal RNA, 253 nt
Filed under: uncultured bacterium
Lineage: Bacteria
Description: partial 16S ribosomal RNA
Rfam family: Bacterial small subunit ribosomal RNA
Source: RNAcentral